Dermacentor andersoni is the source of this 580-nucleotide long non-coding RNA. RefSeq lists it as uncharacterized. NCBI's taxonomy places the organism in Eukaryota, Metazoa, Arthropoda, Arachnida, Ixodida, Ixodidae. The record is from RefSeq and is a predicted model, not a curated record.
CUUACCCGACUCCGGUAAUAAUUUUUGUGUAUAGGACCGCAGAUGGAACAACAAAACCGACAACGCUCAUCUAUAAACCUGACAGCUGAACGCAUGGGCAGACGCUCAGCAACCCAAGUUGUCUACUCGGCAAGAUAACAAGCAGCCAGCUCCUGCCCACUGACCAAAGUUUCUAAAUGUGACUUAAAGUAUAAACAACGAGAAAACCACGACAAAAGCCGAAACCCGGGGAAGUACGAAGAAAGCUUCGCUUUAAGAAUGUUGGAGACUACCCGAAGGACCAAGCACUGACAGCAACGGCCAGGCUUAACCUGGCACUUGAACUGUCUCUAUGCUCUAUCUAUACGCCAGUAUGCCACAAUUUCUAGCUCCCUUAAAAGCCUUACCAUGCUGUUCAAGUCUUGUAACGACAUCUCACGUGCACCAUUGCACUGCAUGCAAAAAAGCGGCGCUAGUGAACUCAGAUCGCACUCAGAUUGUUAGCACUAAUACUGUCACGGAGUUUUUAAUAUUUCAUUCUCUCCCCCCCUCUCUCUCUCUUAAUAUUUCGAAAGAAAUAAAGAUAAAUAUAUAAAAGGUA